RNAcentral lists this ribosomal RNA (497 nucleotides) under uncultured bacterium. RNAcentral describes it as "partial 16S ribosomal RNA". It matches the Rfam family "Bacterial small subunit ribosomal RNA", at positions 28 to 507 of the family's 1533-position model. The record is from RNAcentral.
GAUGAACGCUGGCGGCGUGCCUAAUACAUGCAAGUCGAGCGAACAGACGAGGAGCUUUCUCCUUUGACGUUAGCGGCGGACGGGUGAGUAACACGUGGGUAACCUACCUAUAAGACUGGGAUAACUUCGUGAAACCGGAGCUAAUACCGGAUAAUAUUUCGAACCGCAUGGUUCGAUAGUGAAAGAUGGCUUUGCUAUCACUUAUAGAUGGACCUGCGCCGUAUUAGCUAGUUGGUAAGGUAACGGCUUACCAAGGCAACGAUACGUAGCCGACCUGAGAGGGUGAUCGGCCACACUGGAACUGAGACACGGUCCAGACUCCUACGGGAGGCAGCAGUAGGGAAUCUUCCGCAAUGGGCGAAAGCCUGACGGAGCAACGCCGCGUGAGGGAUGAAGGUCUUCGGAUCGUAAAACUCUGUUAUUAGGGACGAACAAACGUGUAAGUAAAUGUGCACGUCUUGACGGUACCUAAUCAGAAAGCAACGGCUAACUACGUG